CAAAAUUUUCAACUGCAAGCAUGAUGUCAGUUCAAUCUGGAAAACUAAACAACACGACAAAAUUCUAUUUUGAUUCACAAGGUUCUCAAAGAGCACAAUCAAUCUAUACUUCUUGUUGAAUCUAUGGUUGCUAAUGUUUUUAUGUCCUCAGCAAAGAGAUGUUCAAUAUUUGGUAUUCUUAAAUUAAUCCUUUAGAUCUACCAUCUCCACUAACUCAAAAUUAGGUUAACAUAAAUUUAUACAACAACAACAACAACAACAAAGCCUUUUCCCACUAAGUGGGGUCGGCUAUAUGAAUCCUAGAACGCCAUUGCGCUCGGUUUUGUGUCAUGUCCUCCGUUAGAUCCAAGUACUCUAAGUCUUUUCUUAGAGUCUCUUCCAAAGUUUUCCUAGGUCUUCCUCUACUCCUUCGGCCCUGAACCUCUGUCCCGUAGUCACAUCUUCGAACCGGAGCGUCAGUCGGCCUUCUUUGCACAUGUCCAAAUCACCAGAGCCGAUUUUCUCUCAUCUUUCCUACAAUUUCGGCUACUCCUACUGUACCUCGGAUAUCCUCAUUCCCAAUCUUAUCCUUUCUCGUGUGCCCACACAUCCCACGAAGCAUCCUCAUCUCCGCUACACCCAUUUUGUGUACGUGUUGAUGCUUCACCACCCAACAUUCUCUGCCAUACAACAUCGCUGGCCUUAUUGCCGUCCUAUAAAAUUUUCCCUUGAGCUUCAGUGGCCUACGACGGUCACACAACACGCCGGAUGCACUCUUUCCAUCCAGCUCGUAUUCUAUGGUUGAGAUCUCCAUCUAAUUCUCCGUUCUCUUGCAAGAUAGAUCAUAGGUAACGAAAACGGUCGCUUUUUGUGAUCUUCGCUAGAUUGCUCCGGUCAUUAGUGUGGAUAAGUAUAUAAAUGGAUAGAGAUAGGAAAGCAAACACAAGAUGUACGUGGUUCACCCAGAUUGGCUACGUCCACGGAAUAGAAGAGUUCUCAUUAAUUGUGAAGGGUUGAGUGUGGUGUCGUCUUGACUUGCCUUAUCUGUCUCAUAGGUAGAUGUGGCAUCUUCUCUGGAAGUACUCUUCCUCCAUCCAGGGGUGGUAUCUUUAACUGGUGGAGAUGCACAAGGUAAUGUAUCAAUUUCACUUGAAGCUUACUUGUAGUUUCAGGCUUGGUCAAGCGCGAUACAAACCAUGUAGUAGGAGUCCCCCAAGUCGCCGGGCUAGGGGGUCUGCUGAAAGAGGUGACAGACAAGGUAAGCAAUCAGAGCUCCGACUGAUUGUUCACCUUCUCCCCAUCUUGCAGCAGCAUGAAGGAUAAAGAGAAGAAAAAUGAGAAGAGAUGAUAUGAGAUACUUUUGCUUUUGAAGAAGUAACUUUCCACAGGCUUAUUCUUGAACUGAGCUGGAGGGUUUUCUGGUUUCCUCCAAAGUAUAAGGCCGACUGAAGAAUUUGAGGGUCAAAACAAGUCCAUCAAAUCUAGAGUACGUUCCACCCUGCUAAUAUGGGAUACUUUUGCUUUUGACAGAGUAAUGGAUGUAUCGGCACGUGUGCUGUUACGCUUGUCUCCACAUGCUUCCCUUGUAUCCUUCGCACUUGCCCUAUCUGUUCCUCAAGCAGAUGCGGAAUCUUCCCUGGAAAACAUAAGAUGUUGAAGAUGAGUACUCGAGAGCAAUGCCAGGUAAGUAAUCAGGUAAGGGGUUCCAGGCAGUCAGUUCCUGGCUGGAAGCUUGAUUCCAAGUGCUGACUGAUUGCUCUCUUUCUCCUUGUCUUGCCGGUAAAAACAAGGCCAAAAGAAAAAACAGGGAAAAAGCAUGAUAUGGGAUACUCUUGCUUUUAACCCUGAUGAUAUGAGAUAUUCUUGCUCUAGUAUAGCUUGUUUGCAGAGGUAUUAUCGGGGGGAAAGAAAGCUGAAUAUUUCGAAAGGCUUUGUUGGGAGUGCCCUAUCAGAUAUGAUGAAGGGUUGAGCAUUUUUUGCAGGUCUGCCUGUCCGUUGGGGAUGGAGGUCGACAUAUAUAGGAGUCUCCCUAACAACAAGUAGUAAUGCUAUUCCUUUACCCUGCUUGGUCAUAGCACGGUAGUGGGAGCUGCCAGUUUCACAUGUUUUAACUCUGUCAGAGCACUUUGAAAAAGUGGUCUGUGUGGUAUCUGGCUCUCGAGAUUCGGAGAACGAUGCCUCUUCGAUUUUUGAGAAAGCAAUCAUGUUGGGGGUCUGACUCUCGAGAUUCGGAGAGCAGUUGUCUCUUCGAUUUUUGAGGAAGUAAUCAUGUUGGGAGUCUGGCUCUCGAGAUUCGGAGGGCGGUGCCUCUUCGAUUUUGGAGCAAGCAAUCUUGUUGGGAGUGUUGUCUCGAAUGUGAGUAAAGGUUGGACAUGUUUGCUAGUCUACCUUGCCACGAAGCACAAAGGUUGACACAUAGGGACUUUCCAAUUAUCCAGCAAUGGUACUGUUCCUUUACCCUCUCUUCGAUUUUGAGAAAGUAGUCAUGUUGGGAGUCUGGCUCUCGAGAUUCGGAGGACGGUGCCUCUUCGAUUUUGGAGCAAGCAAUCUUGUUGGGGACUGUUUUCUCGAAUGUGAGUAAAGGUUGGGCAUGUUUGCUAGUCUACCUUGCCACGAAGCACAGAGGUUGACACACAGGGACUUUCCAAUUAUCCAGCAGUGGUACUGUUCCUUUACCCUUGUGGGUAAUAAUAUGGUAGCUAGACCUUCAAAAAUUUAUGUGUCUAAACUUUGUUAGUGCUGUUUCUUUGCUAUUCUUUUACCUUUCUUGGUCAGAGCGAUGUAGUGGGAGCUGCAAGCUUCACGUGCUCAACUUUGGCAGAGAACUUUGGCAAAAUGAUCUGUGGUACCCAUGAGUUAUUGUUGCGUGUGGGAAGUGGGUGAUUGAACAGUAAGAUUCAUGUGCUUUCUCCUUCACCAGAAGUCUUCGACAGAAUGCCCAUAAUUUCUGCAAAGCUGAGUGUGCGUGUGACAGGUGCUGACAAGGCUAGAAAAGUAGGUGCCUCUUUGAUUUCUGAGAUCGGCCCUCGUGGUCUCUGAGCAGCCCAGCUUUUGAGAAAGCGAGCGCCUCUUCGAUUGAUUCGGAGAACGGUGCCUCACCGAUUUUUGAGAAAGCAAUCAUGUUGGGGGUCUGGCUCUCGAGAUUCGGGGAGCAGUGUCUCUUCGAUUUUUGAGAAAGUAAUCAUGUUGGGAGAGUGGCUCUCGAGAUUCGGAGGGCGGUGCCUCUUCGAUUUUGGAGCAAGCAAUCUUGUUGGGAGUGUUUUUCUCGAAUGUGAGUAGAGGUUGGGCAUGUUUGCUAGUCUACCUUGCCACGAAGCACAGAGGUUGACACACAGGGACUUUCCAAUUAUCCAGCAAUGGUACUGUUCCUUUACCCUCUCUUCGAUUUUUAAGAAAGUAGUCAUGUUGGGAGUCUGGCUCUUUAGAUUCGGAGGACGGUGCCUCUUCGAUUUUGGAGCAAGCAAUCUUAUUGGGAGUGUUUUCUCGAAUGUGAGUAAAGGUUGGGCAUGUUUGCUAGUCUACCUUGCCACGAAGCACAGAGGUUGACAUACAUGGACUUUCCAAUUAUCCAGCAGUGGUACUGUUCCUUUACCCUUGUGGGUAAUAAUAUGGUAGCUAGACCUUCAAAAUUUAUGGGUCUAAACUUUGUUAGUGCUGUUUCUUUGCUAUUCUUUUACCCCUUCUUGGUCAGAGCGAUGUAGUGGGAGCUGCAAGCUUCACGUGCUCAACUUUGGCAGAGAACUUUGGCAAAGUUAUCUGUGGUACCCAUGAGCUAUUGUUGCGUGUGGGAAGUGGGUGAUUGAACAGUAAGAUUCAUGUGUUUUCUACUUCCCCAGAAGUCUUUGACAGAAUGCCCAUAAUUUCCGCAAAGCUGAGUGUGCGUGUGACAGGUGCUGACAAGGCUGGAAAAGUAGGUGCCUCUUCGAUUUCUGAGAUCGGCCCUCGUGGUCUCUAGGGAGCCCAGCUUUUGAGAAAGCGAGCGCCUCUUCGAUUUCUGAGAUCGGCCUUCGUGGUCUUUUGAGCAGCCCAACUUUUGAGAAAGCAAACGGCUCUUCGAUUUCUGAGAUCAACCCUCGUGAUCUCUAAGCAGCCCAACUUUUGAGAAAGCAAACGCCUCUUCGAUUUCUGAGCAGGCGCCCUCUUUGAUUUCUGAAGCUCCGUCGAGUGCAGAUUUUUAUAGGGGCUGGCAUUAAGUUCCAAAGCACACUUGAAUCUCCACCAGUAGAAGCUUCAUUCUUGCACUUCUAAGAUCUUGAUUUGUCCGACCUCUUCUCUCUUCAACACCUUUGAAAAUGUCUGGCCCCUCCGACCGUCGUUUUGACUUGAACCUUGUUGAAGAGGCAGCCCCGCCUUCUCCAGACAACAUAUGGCGCCCAUCCUUCGUCUCCCCAACUGGUCCUCUUACCGUUGGGGAUUCCGUGAUGAAGAAUGAUAUGACCGCUGCGGUGGUGGCCAGGAACCUUCUCACUCCCAAAGAUAACAGACUACUUUCCAAACGGUCCUGAUGAGUUAGCUGUUAAGGAUUCGCUGGCUCUCAGUGUUCAGUGUGCAGGUUCUGUGUCUAAUAUGGCACAACGCCUAUUUGCUCGAACCCGCCAAGUUGAAUCAUUGGCGGCUGAAGUGAUGAGUCUCAAACAGGAGAUUAGAGGGCUCAAGCAUGAGAAUAAACAGUUGCACCGGCUCGCACAUGACUAUGCUACAAACAUGAAGAGGAAGCUUGACCAGAUGAAGGAAACUGAUGGUCAGGUUUUACUUGAUCAUCAGAGAUUUGUGGGUUUGUUCCAAAGGCAUUUAUUGCCUUCGUCUUCUGGGGCUGUACCGCGUAAUGAAGCUCCAAAUGAUCAACCUCUGAUGCCUCCUCCUUCUAGGGUUAUGUCCAGUACUGAGGCUCCAAAUGAUCCCCCUCCGGUGCCUUCUCUUUCUGGGGCUCUACCGACUGCUGAGACUUCUCCUAAGCAACCUUUGUGAAGGCUCCCUCUUGUGUGUUUAUUUUUGACUCCUGUAUAUGUACAUAUUUGUAGCUUAUCGGGGAUAUCAAUAAAUAAGCUUUCCUUCAUUUCAACGUAUUGUGUUAAAUACACCAAAGCCUUCUUCGCUAAGUUCUUUGAAUUUUCUUUUGUUGAAGCUUGUAUGUUGAAGCUUUCUGAGUGGAGCAGUGUAGGUUGGGGUAGUGUUCCCUUAAUUUCCCGAGUGAGGAAAACUUCUUGGUUGGAGACUUGGAAAAUCCAAGUCACUGAGUGGGAUCGGCUAUAUGAAUCUUAGAACGCCAUUGUGCUCGAUCCUGUGUCAUGUCCUUCGUUAGAUCCAAGUACGCUAAGUCUUUUCUUAGAGUCUCUUCCAAAGUUUUCCUAGGUCUUCCUCUACCCCUUCGGCCCUGAACCUCUGUCCCAUAGUCGCAUCUUCUAAUCGGAGCGUCAGUAGGCCUUCUUUGCACAUGUCCAAACCACCGUAACCGAUUUUCUCUCAUCUUUCCUUCAAUUUCGGCUACUCCUACUUUACCCCGGAUAUCCUCAUUCCUAAUCUUAUCCUUUUCUCGUGUGCCCACACAUCCAACGAAGCAUCCUCAUCUCCGCUACACCCAUUUUGUGUACGUGUUGAUGUUUCACCGCCCAACAUUCUGUGCCAUACAGCAUUGCCGGCCUUAUUGCCGUCCUAUAAAAUUUUCCCUUGAGCUUCAGUGGCAUACGGCGGUCACACAACACACCGGAUGCACUCUUCCACUUCAUCCAUCCAGCUUGUAUUCUAUGGUUGAGAUCUCCAUCUAAUUCUCCGUUCUUUUGCAAGAUAGAUCCUAGGUAACGAAAACGGUCGCUCUUUGGUAUUUCUUGAUCUCCGAUCCUCACCCCUAACUCGUUUUGGCCUCCAUUUGCACUGAACUUGCACUCCAUAUAUUCUGUCUUUGAUCGGCUGAGGCGAAGACCUUUAGAUUCCAACACUUCUCUCCAAAGGUUAAGCUUUGCAUUUACCCCUUCCUGAGUUUCAUCUAUCAACACUAUAUCGUCUGCGAAAAGCAUACACCAAGGAAUAUCAUCUUGAAUAUGUCCUGUUAACUCAUCCAUUACCAACGCAAAAAGGUAAGGACUUAAGGAUGAGCCUUGAUGUAAUCCUACAGUUAUGGGAAAGCUUUCGGUUUGUCCUUCAUGAGUUUCUUACGGCGGUCUUUGCUCCUUCAUACAUAUCCUUUAUAGCUUGGAUAAUAUGCUACUCGUACUCCUUUCUUCUCUAAAAUCCUCCAAAGAAUGUCUCUUGGGACCCUAUCAUACGCUUUUUCCAAAUCUAUAAAGACCAUGUGUAAAUCCUUUUUCCCAUCUCUAUAUCUUUCCAUCAAUCUUCGUAAGAGAUAGAUUGCCUCCAUGGUUGAGCGCCCUGGCAUGAACCGAAUUGGUUGUCCGAAACCCGUGUCUCUUGCCUCAAUCUAUGCUCAAUGACUCUCUCCCAGAGCUUCAUUGUAUGACUCAUUAGCUUAAUACCCCUAUAGUUCAUGCAAUUUUGUACGUCGCCCUUAUUCUUGUAGAUAGGCACCAAAGUGCUCGUUCGCCACUCAUUUGGCAUCUUCUUCGUUUUCAAAAUCCUAUUGAAAAGGUCAGUGAGCCAUGUUAUACCUGUCUCUCCCAAAACUUUCCACACUUCGAUUGGUAUAUCGUCUGGGCCUAUUGCUUUUCUAUGCUUCAUCUUCUUCAAAGCUACAACCACUUCUUCCUUCCGGAUUCGACGAUAAAAGGAGUAGUUUCUACACUCUUCUGAGUUACUCAACUCUCCUAAAGAAGCACUCCUUUCAUGUCCUUCAUUGAAAAGAUUAUGAAAAUAACCUCUCCAUCUGUCUUUAACCGCGUUCUCUGUAGCAAGAACCUUUCCAUCCUCAUCCUUGAUGCACCUCACUUGGUUUUAGGUCCCUUGUCUUCUUUUCCCUUGCUCUAGCUAGUUUAUAGAUAUCCAACUCUCCUUCUUUGGUAUCUAGUCGUUUAUACAUAUCGUCGUAAGCCGCUAACUUAGCUUCUCUGACAGCUUUCUUCGCCUCUUGCUUCGCUUUUCUAUACCUUUCACCAUUUUCAUCGGUCCUCUCCUUGUAUAAGGCUUUACAACAUUCCUUCUUAGCCUUCACCUUUGUUUGUACCUCCUCAUUCCACCACCAAGAUUCCUUUUGGUGUGGGGCAAAAGCCCUUGGACUCUCCUAAUACCUCUUUUGCUACUUUUCGGAUACAACUAGCCAUGGAAUCCCACAUUUGGCUAGCUUCCCCCUCUCUAUCCCACACCACAUUGGGUGAUUACCUUCUCUUUGAAAAUGGCUUGUUUUUCUUCUUUUAGAUUCCACCAUCUAGUUCUUGGGCACUUCCAAGUCUUGUUCUUUUGUCUUACUCUUUUGAUAUGUACAUCCAUCACCAACAAGCGAUGUUGAUUAGCCACGCUCUCUCCUGGUAUAACUUUGCAAUCCUUACAAGUUAUACGAUCCCCUUUCCUCAUUAGAAGAAAAUCUAUUUGUGUUUUUGACGACCCACUCUUGUAGGUGAUCACAUGUUCUUCUCUCUUCUUAAAGAAGGUAUUGGCUAAGAAGAGAUCAUAUGCCAUUGCAAAAUCCAAGAUAGCUUCCCCAUCCUCGUUUCUCUCCCCAAAACCAUGGCCACCAUGAAAACCUCCAUAGUUGCCUGUCUCCCUGCCCACGUGUCCAUUUAAAUCUCCUCCUAUAAAUAACUUCUCCGUCUGAGCAAUUCCUUGCACCAAGUCUCCAAGAUCUUCCCAAAAUUUCUCCUUCGAACUCGUAUCCAACCCUACUUGAGGUGCGUACGCACUAAUCACAUUGAUAAGUUCUUGUCCUAUUACAAUCUUGAUUGCCAUGAUUCUAUCUCCUACCCUCUUGACAUCUACAACAUCUUGUACCAAGGUCUUGUCCACGAUGAUGCCAACACCGUUUCUCGUUCUAUUUGUGCCCGAAUACCAAAGUUUAAACCCUGAGUUUUCUAGAUCCUUUGCCUUACUACCAACCCACUUAGUUUCUUGUAGGCACAUAAUAUUUAUCCUUCUCCUCACCAUAACUUCCACUACUUCCAUAGAUUUCCCGUUAAGGUUCCUAUAUUCCACGUUCCUAAACGCAUUUUGCUCUCUUGAACUCUACCCUUCUGUCCUAGCUUCUUCACCCUCCCCCGUCUAAUAGGAUCAAAGUACUUCUUUUGUGUGUCCCGGGUAAAGUUGAUAGGAGCAUAUGCUCCCAAACAACUUUGAGUGGAGUCGUUCGAAAAGAAGUUUCUAUGGCCCCCUUGCUCAUUUAACACUGCAUCCGGGUGCCGAUGGAGAUACAGCGACCCUUGCUCACUUAUCACUGUGCUCGGGCCACACAGCGCGCCACUUACGGGUGACGCCCUAGCUUUAGCGCGAUUUUGUUCUGGAUUCAUUUUCAUAAGGAUUCGACGUGAUCAUGGAGUGCCGGCUGUCGACUACCUGACGUCCUCCCCCUCCUCCUUUAUCCGGGCUUGGGACCGGCCAUGUAAGACAUAGGCGGAGUUGUUAACAUAAAUUUAUAGUUUGAUAUAAUUAUCCAUUUACCCUUUGAAGAGAAUGAAAAGUAGAGGGUUGUGCAAACUUACAAUAUAUUUAGAUGUUGAAGCAUCCUUGAAACACCACCAUUC
RNAcentral lists this long non-coding RNA (8600 nucleotides) under Malus domestica (apple). RNAcentral describes it as "long non-coding RNA (MDOM_LNC009307)". Lineage: Eukaryota; Viridiplantae; Streptophyta; Magnoliopsida; Rosales; Rosaceae. The record is from RNAcentral.